GAUGAACGCUAGCUACAGGCUUAACACAUGCAAGUCGCGGGGCAGCAUGGGGGUUGCUUGCAAUCCCCGAUGGCGACCGGCGCACGGGUGAGUAACGCGUAUCCAACCUGCCCUUCACCACGGGAUAACCCGGCGAAAGUCGGACUAAUACCGUAUGUUGUCCAUUGACGGCAUCCGAUUUGGACGAAAGGUUUGGCGGUGAAGGAUGGGGAUGCGUCCGAUUAGCUGGACGGCGGGGUGACGGCCCACCGUGGCGACGAUCGGUAGGGGUUCUGAGAGGAAGGUCCCCCACACUGGAACCGAGACACGGUCCAGACUCCUACGGGAGGCAGCAGUGAGGAAUAGUGAUCAAUGGGCGUAAGCCUGAACCAGCCAAGUAGCGUGCAGGAUGACGGCCCUAUGGGUUGUAAACUGCUUUUAUGCGGGGAUAAAGUGGCCCACGUGUGGGUUUUUGCAGGUACCGCAUGAAUAAGGACCGGCUAAUUCCGUG
RNAcentral lists this ribosomal RNA (490 nucleotides) under uncultured bacterium. RNAcentral describes it as "partial 16S ribosomal RNA". It matches the Rfam family "Bacterial small subunit ribosomal RNA", at positions 28 to 507 of the family's 1533-position model. The record is from RNAcentral.